RNAcentral lists this ribosomal RNA (135 nucleotides) under Triticum aestivum (bread wheat). RNAcentral describes it as "partial small subunit ribosomal RNA". The record is from RNAcentral. Lineage: Eukaryota; Viridiplantae; Streptophyta; Magnoliopsida; Poales; Poaceae.
AUGGCGAGGAUUGCGGAGGUGAUGUUGCUGCUCAUGUUCUUGAUGCUGAUCUUCAGCGUCCACCUCGCUUCGGCUGCGAGGCUGUUGGAGGGUGAAGGAUGGAGGGAGGGCGGGAUCGGGACGGUGACACGGUAG